RNAcentral lists this ribosomal RNA (3693 nucleotides) under Patescibacteria group bacterium. RNAcentral's name for it is "23S ribosomal RNA". It matches the Rfam family "Bacterial large subunit ribosomal RNA". The record is from RNAcentral.
GGAUAAAUUAAGUUAAGGGCUUAUGAAGGAUGCCUUGACAUAAAGAGCCGAUGAAGGACGUGGCGUGACUGCGAUAAGCUUCGGGGAGGCGUUUAGCAGCCUUUGAUCCGGAGAUUUCCGAAUGGGGCAACCCAACAUUGUAAACCAAUGUUACCUCGCUUUAUUGCGGGGAGGGCACCUGGGGAAGUGAAACAUCUUAGUACCCAGAGGAAAAGAAAACAAGCCUUCGCUUUUAGCGAAGGGAUAUUCCCUAAGUAGCGGCGAGCGAAAGGGGAGGAGUCUAAACCUAUUUUUGUUUACAAAAAUGGGUGUUGUAAGGUAGCAGUGUUCCAAGAAGGAAGGAGUUUAGAAAUAUGAAAGUGUUAAUCAAAUCUUGCUGGAAAGCAGAACCAAAGAGGGUAAUAGUCCCGUAGGUGAAAAUACUUUUGUGCUCCUAACUGUUAUUCUUGAGUACCUCGGGACCAGACUAUCCCGUGGGAAACCGGCAGUCCUACACUGCCAAGACUAAAUACUCUUUAUGAUCGAUAGUGAACUAGUACCGUGAGGGAAAGGUGAAAAGUAGCCCGAUGAGGGCGGUGAAAUAGAACCUGAAAUCAUAAGCCUACAAAGAGUCGGAGCCCCGCAGUUCUGCGGGGUGACGGCGUGCUUUUUGCAGAACGAGCCAACGAGUUUUAGUUUUUUCUUUGUUUAAGCCCGUCAGGGCGAAGGCAUAGGGAAACCGAGUGUUAAUAGCGCGUUUGUUAUUUAUAACAAGAGAAAAAGCUAAAGACCCGAAGCCAGUGCGAGCUAACCAUGGCCAGGAUGAAUUUCCGAGAAGUCGGAAAGGAGGUCCGCACCCACUGAUCGUGCAACAUCAGGGGAUGAGCUGUGGUUAGAGGUGAAAUGCUAAUCGAGCCUGGUAAUAGCUGGUUCUUCCCGAAAUAGUUUUAGGGCUAGCCUCUUGUAAUUGGAUAUUUAUAUCCAAAGGUCUUUAGGGGUAGAGCACUGGAUGAAGCAAGGCGAUUUAUCGUACUUGCCUCAAUCAAACUCCGAAUACUAAGGAUUAAACAAGGGAGUCAGAACGCGGGGGCUAAGCUCCGCGCUCAAAAGGGAAACAGCCCAGAUUGUCAUCUAAGGUCCCUAAACCAAACUAAGUGGAAAAGGAAGUGAAAUUUCUCUGACAGCUAGAAGGUUGGCUUAGAAGCAGCCAUCCUUUAAAGAGUGCGUAACAGCCCACUAGUUCAGAGAUUUUGCGCCGAUAAUUUAACGGGGCUAAGUUUGGUACCGAAGAUACAGGCGUUCCGCUUUAUUGCGGGACGCGGUAGGGAAGCGUUCUAUGAGCGUUGAAGUCAAAUCGGAAGGUUUGAUGGAGAUCAUAGAAGCGAGAAUGUUGGCAUCAGUAACCACAAUCCCGAUGAGAUAUCGGGACGCCGAAAGCUCAAGGUUUCCUUGGCAAUGAAUAUCAGCCAAGGGUUAGGCGGUCCUAAGUUGAGCCCUGCGUUAUAGCGGGGUAGCUACGAUGGACAGACGGUUAAUAUUCCGUCCCUUCAAUAUUUUUUCGAUGGAAGGACGAGGUUUAGUAGUCUGAGCGGCUUAUUGGAUUGCCGUUCUUUGCUUGAGGAUGUCUGUUAGGUAAAUCCGGCAGACAAUAGUCCAAGAGUUGAGAAAAGGUUUUCUUUCGGGAUAACCAAUUCAGGUGAGCAGACCUCCAAGAAAAGUUCCUAAGAAAUAAGAAUAUUGAAUCCGUACCCCAAACCGACACAGGUGAGCAGGGCGAGUAGCCCAAGGCGAACGAGUGAUUUCUCGUGAAGGAACUCGGCAAAACAACGGGUGUAACUUCGGAAUAAACCCUCCCCGCAGAAAUGUGGGGCGCAGUUAAAGAUUCCUGGCGACUGUUUAUCAAAAACACAGCUCCCUGCUAACUCGCAAGAGGAUGUAUAGGGGGUGACGCCUGACCAAUGCCAGAAGGUUAACGGUUGACGUCUUGCUCUUCGGAGUAAGGCGAAGGCCCGAAGCCCUGGUGAAUGUCAGCAAUAACUAUAAUUGUUCUAAGGUGAAUUAAAGUUGCUUUAGUAAAAUUUGGCUAUAUGCUGGAAUAUCUGGAGUAUCUGGCGGUACUAUGGUAUAAUGUUACCAUAACCAAAAUAACAUUAUGUUAAGUAACAAACCGACCAGUGUAUCUUUUAAGGAAAAGAUGCCAGACAAUCAGCAGGAAAGGCUAAAAACUAUUGGAUGGAUAGUUGGUUAUGUAGAUGGCGAAGGAUGUUUUUCUGUAUCUAUGAUUCGUAAUCAUAGAACAAAAUACGGCUGGCAAGUUUUUCCAGAAUUUGUUAUUACUCAAGGAGAAAAAAGUUUGGACUCAUUAAAAAUAGUCCAAAAUUUCUUUGAGUGCGGAAAAAUAUUUGUCAAUCGUCGCUAUGAUAACCACAGAGAAAAUCUUUGCCGUUAUUGCAUAAGAUCUAUUAAAGAUUUAAACGAAAGAAUUAUUCCAUUUUUUAUGGAAAAUACUUUAGAAACAGCAAAGAAAAAAGAUUUUGAGAUUUUUGCGAAGAUUAUUGGAUUAAUGAUUGAACAAGAACAUUUUAAACUGAAAGGUUUGAAAAAGAUUGCUCAUCUAAUUCAGAAAAUGAAUCGUAAAAAACCAUCUAAGUUUUUAGAAUCCUCAGAGACUACACGCCAAACUCCCCGCAGUAUUGCGGAGAGAAGAUAUAGUCCGAACUCUAUAUCGAUAUAGAGAGAUCUUGAUAAUGUCAAGACGAUAACACAUUUGAGCGAAAUUCCUUGACUGGUAAUUUCAGUCCCGCACGAAUGGCGUCACGACUGGGAAACUGUCUCCACGAGAAGCUCGGUGAAAAUGCAGUAGGGGUGAAGAUGCCCCUUACCUGCGGCAAGACGGAAAGACCCUAGAAGUUUUACUGUAAGUUCUCAUUGAGGUAUUGUUUUGAAUGCGUAGUAUAGCGGGGAGGCUUUGAAGUCCGGCUUUCGGGCUGGAUGGAGCCGCCAGUGAAAUACCCGUCUUUUAAAAUGAUGCUUCUAAUUCGCCUUUUGGCGGAGACAGUGGGUGCUGGGCAGUUUUAGUGGGGCGCUAUCCUCCUAAAAAGUAACGGAGGAGUUUAUAAGGUCAGCUAGACCCGGAUGGAAAUCGGGUUCGUCGCGCAAAGGCACAAGCUGGCUUUACUGCAAGGCGGGCAUGCCGCGCAGUCGCGAAAGCGGAACUUAGUGAACUGACCGUGGGUUGUAGAACCGCGGGAGAUUAACGGAUAAAAACUACUCUAGGGAUAACAGGCUAAUAAAGCCCAAGAGUCCAUAUCGACGGCUUUGUUUGGCACCUCGAUGUCGGCUCAUCACAUCCUGGGGGUGAAGAAGCUCCCAAGGGUUUGGCUGUUCGCCAAUUAAAGUGGUACGCGAGCUGGGUUCAGACCGGCGUAAGCCAGGUUGGUCCCUAUCUGCCGUAGGCGUUGAUACUUGAGGGAAGUCUUUCAUUGUACGAGAGGAUCCGAAAGAACAAACCUCUGGUCUACCAGUUGUCCCGCCAGGGGCAUUGCUGGGUAGCUAAGUUUGGACGGGAUAAGCGCUGAAAGCAUCUAAGCGCGAAGCCCCUCCCAAGAUUAGGUAUCAUAGAUACGCGGGAGACGACCGCGUUGAUAGGCUUCAGGUGUAAGCGCGGUAACGCGUUUAGCCGAGAAGUACUAAUAUAUCAUAUUAUUUAUCCUU